This 452-nucleotide ribosomal RNA is filed under the name uncultured bacterium. RNAcentral's name for it is "bacterial SSU rRNA". It matches the Rfam family "Bacterial small subunit ribosomal RNA", at positions 340 to 786 of the family's 1533-position model. The record is from RNAcentral.
UACGGAAGGCAGCAGGGGGAAUAUUGCACAAUGGGCGCAAGCCUGAUGCAGCCAUGCCGCGUGUAUGAAAAGGCCUUCGGGUUGUAAAGUACUUUCAGUCGUGAGGAAGGUGUUAAGGUUAAUAACCUUAGCAAUUGACGUUAGCGACAGAAGAAGCACCGGCUAACUCCGUGCCAGCAGCCGCGGUAAUACGGAGGGUGCGAGCGUUAAUCGGAAUUACUGGGCGUAAAGGGCACGCAGGCGGUUAAUUAAGUUGGAUGUGAAAUCCCCGGGCUUAACCUGGGAAUGGCAUUCAAGACUGGUUAGCUAGAGUCUUGUAGAGGGGGUAGAAUUCCAUGUGUAGCGGUGAAAUGCGUAGAGAUGUGGAGGAAUACCGGUGGCGAAGGCGGCCCCUGGACAAAGACUGACGCUCAUGUGCGAAAGCGUGGGGAGCGAAACAGGGAUUAGAUACC